RNAcentral lists this ribosomal RNA (356 nucleotides) under Eukaryota sp. RNAcentral's name for it is "SSU rRNA". It matches the Rfam family "Eukaryotic small subunit ribosomal RNA", at positions 1325 to 1699 of the family's 1831-position model. The record is from RNAcentral.
UCGUUAACGAACGAGACCUCGACCUGCUAAAUAGUUUGGCGUAUCCUCCGGGAUACGUACAAGCUUCUUAGAGGGACUAUCGGUGUGUAGCCGAUGGAAGUUCGAGGCAAUAACAGGUCUGUGAUGCCCUUAGAUGUUCUGGGCCGCACGCGCGCUACACUGAUUCGUUCAUCGAGCUUACAACCUUGACCGACAGGUCUGGGUAAUCUUUUUAAAACGAAUCGUGAUGGGGAUAGAGCAUUGCAAUUAUUGUUCUUAAACGAGGAAUUCCUAGUAAACGCGAUUCAUCAGAUCGCAUUGAUUACGUCCCUGCCCUUUGUACACACCGCCCGUCGCUAGUACCGAUUGAAUGGAUU